UUAGGUCCAUGCGGUGGUAAAACAACUGGUCAAUCCCGCCUUUGCACAUUUUUUGAAAAUCUAGGAUGGAAGGUAUUCCGUGUGCCUGAAACGGCUUCCGUACUACUCAGUGGCGGUGUAAAGUUUUCGGACCUGACG
Teleopsis dalmanni is the source of this 138-nucleotide long non-coding RNA. RefSeq lists it as uncharacterized. The transcript is spliced from 3 exons. The record is from RefSeq and is a predicted model, not a curated record. NCBI's taxonomy places the organism in Eukaryota, Metazoa, Arthropoda, Insecta, Diptera, Diopsidae.